UCUUCAUUGUUCGUACUCUCUCAUAGGUCAGAGCGACGAGAGAGCGUGCGAAAUGAAGAGA
This 61-nucleotide microRNA precursor is filed under the name Pristionchus pacificus. RNAcentral describes it as "mir-8364 microRNA precursor family". It matches the Rfam family "mir-8364 microRNA precursor family". The record is from Rfam by way of RNAcentral. Lineage: Eukaryota; Metazoa; Nematoda; Chromadorea; Rhabditida; Neodiplogasteridae.